This 492-nucleotide ribosomal RNA is filed under the name uncultured bacterium. RNAcentral describes it as "partial 16S ribosomal RNA". It matches the Rfam family "Bacterial small subunit ribosomal RNA", at positions 30 to 507 of the family's 1533-position model. The record is from RNAcentral.
ACUGAACGCUGGCGGCAUGCUUUACACAUGCAAGUCGAACGGUAACAGGCCUUCGGGUGCUGACGAGUGGCGAACGGGUGAGUAAUGCAUCGGAACGUGCCCAGAGGUGGGGGAUAACGCAGCGAAAGCUGUGCUAAUACCGCAUGUGAUCUGAGGAUGAAAGCGGGGGACCGAGCAGCAAUGUUUGGCCUCGCGCCUUUGGAGCGGCCGAUGUCGGAUUAGCUAGUUGGUGGGGUAAAGGCCUACCAAGGCGACGAUCCGUAGCUGGUCUGAGAGGACGACCAGCCACACUGGGACUGAGACACGGCCCAGACUCCUACGGGAGGCAGCAGUGGGGAAUUUUGGACAAUGGGCGCAAGCCUGAUCCAGCAAUGCCGCGUGCGGGAAGAAGGCCUUCGGGUUGUAAACCGCUUUUGGCAGGAACGAAACGGUGUCCGCUAAUACCGGGCGCUAAUGACGGUACCUGCAGAAUAAGCACCGGCUAACUACGUG